This 174-nucleotide unclassified non-coding RNA is filed under the name uncultured Penicillium. RNAcentral describes it as "sequence contains ITS1". Lineage: Eukaryota; Fungi; Ascomycota; Eurotiomycetes; Eurotiales; Aspergillaceae. The record is from RNAcentral.
CCGAGUGAGGGCCCCUUCGGGUCCAACCUCCCACCCGUGUUUAACGAACCUUGUUGCUUCGGCGGGCCCGCCGUAUGGCCGCCGGGGGGCACCUGCCCCCGGGCCCGCGCCCGCCGAAGACACCUGUGAACGCUGUCUGAAGUUGCAGUCUGAGACAACUAGCUAAAUUAGUUA